This 492-nucleotide ribosomal RNA is filed under the name uncultured bacterium. Its description in RNAcentral is "partial 16S ribosomal RNA". It matches the Rfam family "Bacterial small subunit ribosomal RNA", at positions 29 to 507 of the family's 1533-position model. The record is from RNAcentral.
AGUGAACGCUGGCGGUAGGCCUAACACAUGCAAGUCGAACGGCAGCACAGUAAGAGCUUGCUCUUACGGGUGGCGAGUGGCGGGCGGGUGAGGAAUACAUCGGAAUCUACUUUUUCGUGGGGGAUAACGUAGGGACACUUACGCUAAUACCGCAUACGACCUACGGGUGAAAGCAGGGGAUCUUCGGACCUUGCGCGAUUGAAUGAGCCGAUGUCGGAUUAGCUAGUUGGCGGGGUAAGGGCCCACCAAGGCGACGAUCCGUAGCUGGUCUGAGAGGAUGAUCAGCCACACUGGAACUGAGACACGGUCCAGACUCCUACGGGAGGCAGCAGUGGGGAAUAUUGGACAAUGGGCGCAAGCCUGAUCCAGCCAUGCCGCGUGUGUGAAGAAGGCCUUCGGGUUGUAAAGCCCUUUUGUUGGGAAAGAAAAGCAGCAGGUUAAUACCCCGCUGUUCUGACGGUACCCAAAGAAUAAGCACCGGCUAACUUCGUG